This is a long non-coding RNA of Aethina tumida (small hive beetle), 2553 nucleotides long. RefSeq lists it as uncharacterized. The record is from RefSeq and is a predicted model, not a curated record. The transcript is spliced from 2 exons. Lineage: Eukaryota; Metazoa; Arthropoda; Insecta; Coleoptera; Nitidulidae.
AAAUUAAAUUUCUUCAAUAAAUAUUGCUGAAAUAAUAAUAUUUUUUGGCAUAAUAGUCACAGUAAAAAUUAAUUCAAUUUAAAUCAAUUACAUUUAUCAAUAAACUAUUAAAAUAAUUAUUCAUUCUUUAGAGAAAACAAAUGUUCGGAUUAAGAAAAAAAGGCAAUAUUUGAGAAAAGUAAUAAAAAUUAAAACUAGGUUAAAUUAAGUUAUUCAGGUACUGUGUGAUAGAUAAUUAAGAUAAACAAAAUGUUUUAUUUUAUUUUUAAUGUGGUUUUACAUCGAAAUAAUUAACUAUUGUUUUUCCAAAAAAUACAUUUUAUUUUAUCAUUUUUAAAAUUGUAGUCUGUUCUCAAACUUUUAAUGAUCUCGGUCACCAAAAUGUCGGCAUGGGUACGUCUUUGAAUAAACGAAAACUAAAAUUUGCAAAAUUAUACAGUCAAACAAUUUUAUUGUUUCAUUCGUAAAAUAUGCAAAAAGAGAAAUUUCCUUUGGUGAAUCAAAUAAAUUAUGUAUCAAUACCGACUAUUGAAUAUACAUGAAUUAUUCUAUUUAUAAAUGUACAGUAGUGGCCAGACAAAUAGCACAAAAUUUAAAAUCAAACUUUUCACUAAAGGAUUUACAUUUUAUACUUAUUUUUGGCUUUUUUUUGUUACACAUCUUAUAUAAGUCUAAUUUGGUUGGCCAAACAAAUAGUACAUUCAAAUGUAUUUACGUUUUGUGUAAGUAUUUAAUAAUACUCUUAAUAGUUAGAAUUUAUACUUAGUAGGAGAUAUAUUAUUUUAUUGAAUAAAUUCACUUUCAAUGAGAAGAAAACAUAAUACUCUCCAAAGAAGAGGAAAAUAAUAAUUAACAUAAAAUAUCAAGGUCUAAAUAUUGCUGAUAUCGCUAAAAACUUAUGAUGUUUCCGAAAAAUGGUUUUACAAUGUUUAUUAAUAAAUAGGAAACACGACACUAAAUUGAAAAUAAAAUAAGAAAAUGUCCUAACAACAACAUAAUUUCUUUUAUUGACAUAGAAAUCGGAAACAUCAGUCAUACAGUGUAUCAAUGUGUCUAGUAGGACAAUCAGACGUCGAUUGAAUGAACAAAACUUGCAAUGAUUUAUUUCUGUAAAGAAGCCAUUUUUAUCAAAAAAGAAUAUUCGAACAAGACUAAAAGUUUGCACAAAAAUGUAUUAAUUAUCCUCCAGAAUUUUGGCGAAAGAUACUUUGAAGUGAUGGAUCCAUGUUCAAUACAACAAGAUCAGAUGGUAAAAAUUAUAAUUAAUCAUCGUCCUCCUGAUAGAAGUUUGGAUCUUAGAUAUAUUUCAAACACAAUAAAACACGAUGGAAUAUUUUUUUUUAGAUUCCUUUCCUUGAUAUGGUGUAAGACCAUUACAAAAAAUUAUCAGUAAAAUGGACCAUUUCGUAGACACUAUAUAGAGACAUCAAGAGAGGUGUAAAGCAAUAAUUUAUCAACGAUAGUUACAUGGAUUUUUAUCAGUGAUAAUGAUAUGAAUCAGUGUAACAAAAGUUGUUCAUAGUUGGUUAAAAGAUAAAAAGAGAUUCUCAAUUGGCCAGGGUAUUGACCUGAUCUAAAUACUAUUGAAAACUUGUGGAAUUAUAUGUAAUCUCUAUUAAAACACCAAAAAGCAUCAAAUUUUAAUGAUGGUUAUUCAUUGAAUAUUUGUUUCACUAUUUACAGGUGUGUAUAAAUUAUUUAACAAAUAUACAUUUUUCAAAUAUGUGCUAUUUCUGUGAGCAGCCACAUUUCACAUUUAUUUCGUUUAAGAUUUAAUUUAAGUAGAAAUUAUUUUGAUUUAGAUACAUAAUGAAUAAUGGCAUUAUUUCAUCAUUAAUGUUAAGAUAACAAUGUGUGCUAUUUCUCUGACCGCCGCUGUAAAUAUAGCAACAAGUUGUACAAUAAAAUUUACAUUGAAAGUAAGUUAAUUAAAGCUAUUUAUUAAUACACAUACAAAAUACAUGUAAAAUAAUUAGAAACAUGGAGAUAAAAGUAGAGAUAAUUCCCGUAUACGUAAUAAUCUUAUAUGCUAUAUACGUUAGUGACCAAUUUAAUUAACCAAACAUGAAAUUAUUUAUUCAAGCAAUAAAUUACUUCAAAAGAAUUACGGGUAAUUCCCUGAUCGGUAAAAGCCAGAGCCCGUCUCCCAAUGCUCGAUAACAAUUCGCAUAUAUAAAUGUCGUAUUAAGAAGCGGUUUAUCUUCUACUGCAACAGCCGAUAGUCACAACAGCACAAUGAACAAGUUAAACAUCUUUGCCUUGUGUGUGGUACUUUCCGCCGUGGUACUCAUCACGUACGCCAAACCAUUGGUACCCGAAGAACUUGAAGAUGAAGAAUACAGAUUAGAUCAUGUCGGACGUGUAAAACGCGUAACUUGCGACCUUUUGAGUUUGAACAUCAACAUUCUUGGUAGCGGUGGACAACUCAACCAUUCAGCUUGUGCGGCUCACUGUUUGUAUUUGAAGAAGAAAGGCGGACACUGCAAUGCUGACGGUGUUUGUGUUUGUAGAAAAUAAAAUUUUAGUUGAUUAAUAAAUAUUUAUUGUUUUAUA